Molecule: ribosomal RNA, 446 nt
Filed under: uncultured bacterium
Lineage: Bacteria
Description: bacterial SSU rRNA
Rfam family: Bacterial small subunit ribosomal RNA
Source: RNAcentral
CCAGACUCCUACGGGAGGCAGCAGUGAGGGAUAUUGGGCAAUGGGGGAAACCCUGACCCAGCGACGCCGCGUGAGGGAAGACGGUCUUCGGAUUGUAAACCUCUGUCUUUGGGGACGAAAAAGGACGGUACCCAAGGAGGAAGCUCCGGCUAACUACGUGCCAGCAGCCGCGGUAAUACGUAGGGGGCGAGCGUUAUCCGGAUUUACUGGGUGUAAAGGGAGCGUAGACGGUUCUGCAAGUCUGAAGUGAAAGCCCGUGGCUUAACCGCGGAACGGCUUUGGAAACUGUGGAACUGGAGUGCUGGAGAGGCAAGCGGAAUUCCUAGUGUAGCGGUGAAAUGCGUAGAUAUUAGGAGGAACACCGGUGGGGAAGGCGGCCUGCUGGACUGCGACUGACGUUGAGGCCCGAAAGCGUGGGGAGCAAACAGGAUUAGAUACCCCGGUAC